This is a non-coding RNA of Chiloscyllium plagiosum (whitespotted bambooshark), 5402 nucleotides long. The record is from RefSeq and is a predicted model, not a curated record. NCBI's taxonomy places the organism in Eukaryota, Metazoa, Chordata, Chondrichthyes, Orectolobiformes, Hemiscylliidae.
CGACCGCCAGCCGGCCGGCUGUUCCCGCGCCAGUGGCACGAGCGCGGCGGCGCUGGGCUGAAUGCAGGGCUAAUUAACCGGAGCAAUGCAGCUGUGCUCACAUCAGGCCCAAGCAACAGCAAUUAAAGAGAGAGCAGCAGCGGCGGCAGCAGCAGCAGCAAACUGUCAUCCUUCACUCACAACACCUCGACUGAGCCGAUGGCACGUUAUUAACAGUUAAACAAGUUCAAAUUCACGACCAGAGAAUCCAUGACGAGAGUUUCACACAUUUACGGGUGGGUGGGAUUACUCUAACCCCAAUUAAAGCAUACUCUGAAAAAACCUUUGCUGAAAUAUGUUCAAAGAAUUCCUUCGUUCUGAUACUUAUUGAUCUGAUUUGCUUCCAGGAAGAAACUAAAGUAAUUAUUCUAAACGCUGUCCGCUUUUGCGAAAAAUAAAGCAUUUAUACCAUUCCAGAUAUUCAUAAAACAGAGCAGAAGUGUCUAUGUCCAGAAGCCAGAUUACAUUCUUGCCGGAGAGCGCGUGAAACUAUCAUUGCUUGAAAAAAAAGGUUCACUUUCAACUAAAAUCUACAGGAUUUGAAACAAAUUUCUCAUGAAAUGUAUCUCCCCAUUCUUCAUUACCACACUCAAAGGACACAAUGCUUUCCAAUCCAGCAUAUGUGUAAGGCUCCAUUUUUUUCUGGCUAGAAAAUAACUUUCCAAAAUAAUGAUGCAGCGGGACUCCAUACUGAUUCAAUGUCAUAGCUAUGCCCGUAAAGUACAAAUACAGAACAUAAGGUCCUUGGGUAUUGUUAUACCUACUUGAAACCAUUAUCAUCCUGUCCACUACCAAGAUCAAUUUAAUUAAAGACUGAUUCAAAAUUUCAGAACAUCAAACAUAAUAGAAGUGAAACCAUCUGUGGGAAGUCUAAGAUGUCCCCGUAGGUUAAAAUUGGCAUCUCACGUUAGAAUGGUUCAUGUCACUAUGUUUUAAUGGGCAACAAACAUUUGCCAAUAUAUAAACUCUAGCACAGGGGUCAUGUAGUGCAAAGGUAAUGCCUCUACAUUUGGACCAGAGGUCCAGUUCUAAUACCCAGCUGACAUGAAAAAAGGACAGAACAUCUCCAAACAGGUUGUUUUUCUUUUAAUUCUCCUAUUAUGUUCACCUUACGCAAAUCCACUGUAGUAUGAUACCAAUCGGGUUCUUCAAAUUAAACAAGAUUUUCUGGACCCUUCAGAAGAUAUUUUACAUUUUUUCGUCUAUUCUAUGUUUGUCUUUUUAUAACAUCUGAGGGCAAGGCGAAGGGAAGGGAUGGGGUCUAUCUCUAUCAGAAAGUUCGUGUAAUUAAAAAAAAAAUGUUGAAUAUACGAUUAUGUUUAUCUUCUUGUCUCCAAACAAAAUACAAAACUUUGAUUUUUAAAUCAAAAUAUGCAAAUCCAUCCUCACCACAGUAUCCAAAACAGUCUUUAAAGGCAAAGUAUCUGAAUUAUAAAUUCGAUAACCAAGUCUCUAGCUGACAAUACAAAAUAAAAAUAUUACUAUUACAUUCGAGUUUUUAAUGCCGUACUAAAUAGACAUCAAAACAAUGCCCCCAUCCCACCGCUCAUUUACUGGAAACUUUAAAAUUAUUUAUCUUCUUAUAGGAAUUUGUGGAAAUAUCAAAACUAAAUUUAGGGCAGAUAUUUGUAGACUGCAUUUUUUUUUCGUGUGCUGACAUUUAGUACUGACCCAGUAGGGAAACAAUGCCACCAUUCAUAGCACUAGACGUAGAUUUCAAUCGACUUAAGCGGGCACAAUGAGAUGUGGUCAUUCAAUGGUUACCCAUAUUGUGUUCUCAAAUUUUCUCUCAGCCAAAGUAUAAUGACUCGGUAUUGUAUGGGUGCUUAGACAAGGGCUCCAAACAAGAGACACUAGUUUUGUCUGACGGUGUGAGAAAGUCGUGAAGGGAUCCUUUCUUCCAGAUGGUGUUAAAUUCAGCUGCCUUUUUAACAUUGGCCUUGCACAGCAAUCUGCUGCUCCCUUGCCACAAAAGAGGAUCUCUGGUUCCCACUAGUUAACAUGCACACUCACGCAGACUUCAAAUUUCCUCCAACUUGUUUUCACUGGGUAUUGAUAUAUGUAUUUGUAGACUGCGUUCUAAAAUACAGAUGUAACACCACAUUGUAUUUUGUCAACUCUGUUCUGGAAAACUUAUAUUGCUUUGACUAUGUUCCAGAAAUUAUAACCAUAAGUCACUUAGUAACAAUAAUCUAAACAAUUUUAUGGAUAAAUUACUCUAACGAACCCUUGUAUAUUUCUUUUGUGUGUUUCAAUAGUUGAAGGCCAUUGUUUCUCAUUGCAGUAAGCCCAGUUACAAAACAGCUGUUCAUUAAAAUAUUCUUCCUAAAAUAUUUACGUAAAAGCAAAGCACUGAGAGUGAACUGUUCACUAACAGUGAACAUUCUUCACUGAGAAGAAACUUGCAGAGACCAUUGUUAUGCCUAACAUCAGAAUUCAAUCGUUUUCAAUUUAGCAGUAAAUGCUUUGAAACACACCAACCGUUUGGACGAACAUUUAAGAGUGCAAUUUCCCAUGUCACCUUAUUGUUUAGACGGAAUCUUCCUUAUUCUCAAAAGGAAAGAAAUGUGUACUUUGUAAUGCUAAUUUUUUAAAACAAACAGGCUUUAGGUUAACAGCAGUUAGUGGUUACAGCACCAUUGAAUCAUACAGUAAACACCACACUCAUUUACACUUUUACAAUGCAAACGUUGUUUGUCCUAAACAAUGAAUUUAAGCAAACAGGCAAGUGUCACGGAUGGCUAUUACAGUAAUAAAGGUUAAGCAGGCGUGUGCCAGACUGCUCGCCACUAAACAACAUCUAACGGGAAUUGAGUAAAUAAAAGACAGUAGCAAGGUUCAUAGCUUGCCAGUCCCCAAACCCGGUUAGCCUGUUGGGAUACAAUAGGCUGCUAUUAAGUGAAACUAUUGUCCACUUGGUAAGAUUACACUCCUUAAGUUCCAGGGGCCAGAAUAUACGGUGAUCCCAGGAGGGAGGGCACAAGCUGACGUGCUGAGGGAUGUGGGUGGGAAAUGCCAUCACAUUUGUUUUAGAGAUAGAGAGCUGCACUUGACAGUUUCUCGCUCCUCCAUAGCCCACCAACAACCCCCACCCCCAAUCCAGCUGCCUGUCAGCGGUUGGGCUCGGGCACGACAUUGCCACUCGUUCCCCCCUCCCCCGCCCCCGAGCGUGGGAAGCGGAGCGGCCAGCCGUUCACAUCUCCUGAACUCCGUUUAACGGAAGCAAUUAGGCGCAAGCUGCAGACUCUACUCUCUCCCCAUCCCCAGCCCCCGCCCUUUCACGCCUGCACACGUCCUAAUUAUUUUAGUUUGGGAUGCCAGCGCUGUUUCCUGGAUAUAUCCGAUAAUGCUGAAAAAAGAAACAAAAAGUGGCCACGUGGGUAGUCAUCAGGACGACGUGCUUUCGUAUCCUUCAUUAAAUGUCAGUUUAAUUUCCAAGGCUAGACGCAGAGUAAGACACUUUUGUUUUUUUUACAGUUUGACAAGAGGGAGGUUCCCGCCGCGUCUUUCUGCUUUAUUGCCUUCCUCAAGGAAACCGAGCUGGAAGAGCAAACCUUCUUUGCUUUCUGAAUUUUAAAAUAAUAACGAUCAGAUCUACACCUAGCGAUUGAAACUCGGCUGUCCUCUAUUCCGUCGCCUAUAUGUUUAUUUACGUAAACACUUUUGGCGAGCCGAUUAAAACGUAUUUGGCUUUCUUUCUUGGGGAGACAUGUGACUACAAACGUUCCCAUGAAUGCAUCUUAUACAAGUUCUGCCACAUGUUCCAGAGUAAAAUGCUCGCCUGGUGAUAUUUUCACAACCGAUCGACUAAAAUCUCCCCCGAGACCUCUUCCGAUUUAAAACUUUUAAUCCCAUUCGCUUUCCCAAUUCUAAGAAACCCUCCGACUUUCACGCAGCGAGAUAUCCAAAUAAAUACUGGAGAGGUGAUUCUUAAAUCGAAAACAAUUUCCAUUUUCUCUAGGACAGUUUAAUAUUUCAGGUACAAAGUUGAGACACCAGUUUCAGUCAUAUUCUUUUUAACAACUAUGCAAGUCUAAUUAUUGCAAAACGUUCAGACCAUGCGUACCAGAGGGCACUUAUUUAACCCUUGCGUUGGAGUUAACUUGCAUCCACUAAUACUUCCGUCACCAUCAGCACGAAUACCUUUAUUAAGGAUUUUUUAUAUUGAUACUGUAGACAUACCACCGGUUUAACUUUCUAAGUGUUUAGCACCCGACGAUAUUUAAGGGGGGCGGUUGGGGGGUAGGAUGUACGAUUCCAUGAUUCAUCCUUUUCUCGGAAGCGCCACGAAGAUCCUAGAAGCAGUUUUUACUUUCGGUUAUCUAGCUUUAUGACGGUCAAAUACACUCAUACAGCUAGAUAACCAAAGAUAACAACUAACUUCCUCAAUCCUUGCGUUUGCGGAUGCCUUCCACUCUCUUUACACUCGCAGUACCUGAAGUCUGCAAUAGAUCUCGCCAUGUUCACAUUCUCAACCUUUUUUUUCCCCACAUAAAUUACUUCUCGGCCCAGAGAUACUCAUCUGCUCACUGGCACUGAGAGGGUGCAUCGUCCCUCGAAGUUUUUGGUCAACUUCCACAGAACUUAAUAUUCAACAUUAGCACUCCAGGUAUUAAUAUCAAGAGGACGGGUGGGGGGUAAAAGCAACCCCAUCGGCGGUUUAGUCUCGAUAUGAUCUGGACAGAGUUAAGAGUGAGGUGCAUCUAUCCGUCCACAGGCCUCUAUUUGCAUUGUAAAUCGCUUCAUUCUCACAAAGACUGCAUGAAGACGUUGAGCCCACAGCACUUAUCCAAAGCGGCCACAUCGCGUCAAUGUUUUCUCUUGGCUAAUUCCGUGGUGGAAACGGGCACAGCGAGCCGGGAGAGCGGGCAAUGCGGUCGCCCCCCUCAGCUGCUGCCGAUCCCGAUCUGUUCUAAUGGCAGCGGCGGGCGGUUGCUGAGAGAUUUGGAGAGCGGUUUCCCCCCCCGUCAGAGCUGGCGGAGCUGGGAAAGCUAGGAGCUGCCGCACCAUUGCCGCUGCUACCAGGGGUCUGAAGACGGAUCAGGGCCAUCAUUGGGAUUGCGGUGCCGAAAUCUGGACCAACCCGGCGAGGUCAAAGGUCCCGGACCGCGGGAGACCAAGGUUUCCAGAUGGAUUCAGCGACACUGUAUGGCAUGGAUCUGAACUACCCUCGUGAUCUUAAAAUAAUAUAGCGACUACAUAUGUUAAUAUUCAGUUUUCAUAAUUGGCGGCGAAUGUACGCAUGCACGUGAGCUUUGUGUGAUACACUGCAGGGGAUACAUAGACUUAUAUUCGACAUUUUGCCGCCCUAAUUCUGGAUUAGAUAAAUGGAUGUAAUUAAAGGGAACAGUACUUAGUCAUUC